This 371-nucleotide ribosomal RNA is filed under the name uncultured organism. Its description in RNAcentral is "partial 16S ribosomal RNA". It matches the Rfam family "Bacterial small subunit ribosomal RNA", at positions 527 to 896 of the family's 1533-position model. The record is from RNAcentral.
GUAGGUGGCAAGCGUUGUCCGGAAUUAUUGGGCGUAAAGCGCGCGCAGGCGGUCCUUUAAGUCUGAUGUGAAAGCCCACGGCUCAACCGUGGAGGGUCAUUGGAAACUGGGGGACUUGAGUACAGAAGAGGAAAGCGGAAUUCCAAGUGUAGCGGUGAAAUGCGUAGAGAUUUGGAGGAACACCAGUGGCGAAGGCGGCUUUCUGGUCUGUAACUGACGCUGAGGCGCGAAAGCGUGGGGAGCAAACAGGAUUAGAUACCCUGGUAGUCCACGCCGUAAACGAUGAGUGCUAAGUGUUAGGGGGUUUCCGCCCCUUAGUGCUGCAGCUAACGCAUUAAGCACUCCGCCCGGGGAGUACGGCCGCAAGGCUG